AGUGAACGCUGGCGGCGUGCCUAACACAUGCAAGUCGAAGGAAGUGGCGCACGGGUGAGUAAUAUAUAGCUAACCUGCACCUUGCUGGAGGACAACCGAUAGAAAUGACUGAUAAUACACCAUAGCGAGGGAUGAGACGAUAACGUAUCAGCUAGUCGGUGGGGUAACGGCCUACCGAGUGUAUGACGCGUAACUGGUCUGAGAGGAUGAUCAGUCACAUUGGAAGGGAGGCACGGUCGAGGCACCUACGGGAGGCAGCGGUAGGGAAUAUUACGCACUGGGGGUGACCCUGGCGGGGCAACGCGGCGUGGAGGAUGACAGUUGUGGGAGCGUAGACUCCUUUUGUUAGGGAAGCGGUACCUAACGAAUAAGCACCGGCUAACUCCGUGCCAGCAGCCGCGGUAAUUC
This 408-nucleotide ribosomal RNA is filed under the name uncultured bacterium. Its description in RNAcentral is "partial 16S ribosomal RNA". It matches the Rfam family "Bacterial small subunit ribosomal RNA", at positions 29 to 526 of the family's 1533-position model. The record is from RNAcentral.